This 408-nucleotide ribosomal RNA is filed under the name uncultured bacterium. RNAcentral describes it as "partial 16S ribosomal RNA". It matches the Rfam family "Bacterial small subunit ribosomal RNA", at positions 28 to 526 of the family's 1533-position model. The record is from RNAcentral.
GACGAACGCUGGCGGCGUGCUUAACACAUGCAAGUCGAACGAAGUGGCGAACGGGUGUGUAAUAUGUGGGUAACCUGCCCUCCUUUUGGGGAUAAGCCAUGGAAACGGGGUCUAAUACCGAAGAAAGGGGGAUGGGCUCGCGGCCUGUUAGCUUGUUGGUGGGGUGAUGGCCUACCAAGGCGGUGACGGGUAGCCGGCCUGAGAGGGUGACCAGCAGCAUUGGGACUUGGAUACGGCUCAGACUCCUACGGUAGGCAACGGUGGGGGAUAUUGCACAAUGUGCGAGAGCCUGAUGCAGCGACGCCGCGUGGAGGAUGUAGGCUUUCGGGUUUUAAACCUCUUUCGCUAUCGAACGAGUAAGUGGAGGAGGAGCACCGGCUAACUACGUGCCAGCAGCCGCGGUAAUUC